RNAcentral lists this ribosomal RNA (253 nucleotides) under uncultured bacterium. RNAcentral describes it as "partial 16S ribosomal RNA". It matches the Rfam family "Bacterial small subunit ribosomal RNA", at positions 524 to 776 of the family's 1533-position model. The record is from RNAcentral.
UACAGAGGGGGCAAGCGUUGUUCGGAUUCAUUGGGCGUAAAGGGUGCGUAGGUGGCGCGCUAAGUCAGGUGUGAAAUUUCGGAGCUUAACUCCGAAACUGCAUUUGAUACUGGCGUGCUUGAGGACUGGAGAGGAGACUGGAAUUCACGGUGUAGCAGUGAAAUGCGUAGAUAUCGUGAGGAAGACCAGUGGCGAAGGCGGGUCUCUGGACAGUUCCUGACACUGAGGCACGAAGGCCAGGGGAGCAAACGGG